This 490-nucleotide ribosomal RNA is filed under the name Dendropsophus branneri. RNAcentral describes it as "partial small subunit ribosomal RNA". It matches the Rfam family "Bacterial small subunit ribosomal RNA", at positions 794 to 1522 of the family's 1533-position model. The record is from RNAcentral. Lineage: Eukaryota; Metazoa; Chordata; Amphibia; Anura; Hylidae.
GCCUAGCCGUAAACUUUUAAUUACACCUAUACCGCCAGGGAACUACGAGCAAAGCUUGAAACCCAAAGGACUUGACGGUACCCCACAUCCACCUAGAGGAGCCUGUCCUAUAAUCGAUAACCCCCGCUUAACCUCACCAUUUUUGGCCUUUCAGCCUGUAUACCUCCGUCGUCAGCUUACCCCGUGAGCGCCAACUAGUGAGCUUAAUGCCCUUACGCCAACACGUCAGGUCAAGGUGCAGCACAUAAAAUGGGAAGAGAUGGGCUACACUAUCUAACCUAGAUCAAACGAAAGACUACCUAUGAAACCUAGUCAGAAGGCGGAUUUAGAAGUAAAGAAAGACCAAAGUGCUCUCUUUAACUCGGCACUGGGGUGUGUACACACCGCCCGUCACCCUCUUCAAAGCUUUAAUCUAGUUUAUUACACUAUUAAGCACCACAGAAGAGGCAAGUCGUAACAUGGUAAGUAUACCGGAAGGUGUGCUUGGAAA